Molecule: ribosomal RNA, 193 nt
Filed under: uncultured Streptococcus sp.
Lineage: Bacteria; Bacillati; Bacillota; Bacilli; Lactobacillales; Streptococcaceae
Description: partial 16S ribosomal RNA
Rfam family: Bacterial small subunit ribosomal RNA
Source: RNAcentral
UCAUCAUGCCCUUAUGACCUGGGCUACACACGUGCUACAAUGGUUGGUACAACGAGUUGCGAGUCGGUGACGGCGAGCUAAUCUCUUAAAGCCAAUCUCAGUUCGGAUUGUAGGCUGACAACUCGCCUACAUGAAGUCGGAAUCGCUAGUAAUCGCGGAUCAGCACGCCGCGGUGAAUACGUUCCCGGGCCUU